CCCGCCCAGCGGAAGGGCAGGGGAGGAGGGAGGGAAGGAGGGAAGGGAGAAGGGAAGGGAAGGAGGGACGGAGGGAGGGAGGCGCCGCUGUCACGGCCGCGCCGCGGCUCCCGCCCUUCUGGGCAUGUGCGGCGGGGGAAGGGAAGGGAGGGAGGGAGGGGAGGGAAGGGACGGGCCCGCGGCGGAGGAGGGGGGCAGCCCGGAGACCGGACCCCAAAGCCCAAACCCUGCACCAAUGUCAGCGCCUCGGCCCCGUGGUGAAGGCGGAGAGGGCUUGAGGCAGCGGGGAGCCCGCCCUGAUGGCCCUUCUGACCGACUGCAGCCCUGGCACCGAGCUAAAACUGUCAACAGCAGUCCCGCGAGAGGAAGCUUUUACCCCUGUGCUCGGUUUCAACCCGUAAGUAACGCUUCGUCCAUGAGGAGCCACGCAAAGUUUUGGGGGUGCUUUCAAGUGUCAUCUCUUCCUCCCCUUAAAACAAAACAAACUCACUUUCUAGAAAAACACACAGCAAUACGACUUCUUCUGCGUCAGAUCAGAUCGCUCAGCAGAACUGGCUUUCUGUCUGCUCUUGGAAAUAUAUGCAUAAAGUCAAAGCAGACUCUGUAG
Molecule: long non-coding RNA, 607 nt
Filed under: Anser cygnoides (Swan goose)
Lineage: Eukaryota; Metazoa; Chordata; Aves; Anseriformes; Anatidae
Description: lncRNA (ENSACDG00005004812.1)
Source: RNAcentral